RNAcentral lists this ribosomal RNA (254 nucleotides) under uncultured bacterium. Its description in RNAcentral is "partial 16S ribosomal RNA". It matches the Rfam family "Bacterial small subunit ribosomal RNA", at positions 524 to 776 of the family's 1533-position model. The record is from RNAcentral.
UACGUAGGGGGGCAAGCGUUGUUCGGAAUUACUGGGCGUAAAGCGCACGUAGGCGGCUUUGUAAGUUAGAGGUGAAAGCCCGGGGCUCAACUCCGGAAUUGCCUUUAAGACUGCAUCGCUAGAAUUGUGGAGAGGUAAGUGGAAUUCCGAGUGUAGAGGUGAAAUUCGUAGAUAUUCGGAAGAACACCAGUGGCGAAGGCGACUUACUGGACACAUAUUGACGCUGAGGUGCGAAAGCGUGGGGAGCAAACAGG